RNAcentral lists this ribosomal RNA (409 nucleotides) under uncultured Nitrososphaerota archaeon. RNAcentral's name for it is "bacterial SSU rRNA". It matches the Rfam family "Archaeal small subunit ribosomal RNA", at positions 452 to 861 of the family's 1478-position model. The record is from RNAcentral. Lineage: Archaea; Thermoproteati; Nitrososphaerota.
CUGGUGUCAGCCGCCGCGGUAAUACCAGCACCCCGAGUGGUCGGGACGUCUAUUGGGCCUAAAGCAUCCGUAGCCGGUUCUACAAGUCUUCCGUUAAAUCCACCUGCUUAACAGAUGGGCUGCGGAAGAUACUAUAGAGCUAGGAGGCGGGAGAGGCAAGCGGUACUCGAUGGGUAGGGGUAAAAUCCGUUGAUCCAUUGAAGACCACCAGUGGCGAAGGCGGCUUGCCAGAACGCGCUCGACGGUGAGGGAUGAAAGCUGGGGGAGCAAACCGGAUUAGACACCCGGGUAGUCCCAGCUGUAAACGAUGCAGACUCGGUGAUGAGUUGGCUUAUUGCUAACUCAGUGCCGCAGGGAAGCCGUUAAGUUUGCCGCCUGGGGAGUACGGUCGCAAGACUGAAACUUAAAG